AGCGGCAGGCUUAAUACAUGCAAGUCGUGGGGCAGCAUGAGUAGCAAUACUUGAUGGCGACCGGCAAACGAGUGAGGAACACGUACACAACCUUCCUUCAAGCGGGGAAUAGCCCAGAGAAAUUUGGAUUAAUACCCCAUAAUAUAUUUGAUAAGGCAUCUUAUUAAUAUUAAAAGCUUCGGCACUUGAUGAUGGGUGUGCGGCUGAUUAGAUAGUUGGCGGGGUAACGGCCCACCAAGUCUACGAUCAGUAGCUGAUGUGAGAGCAUGAUCAGCCACACGGGCACUGAGACACGGGCCCGACUCCUACGGGAGGCAGCAGUAAGGAAUAUUGGACAAUGGACGAAAGUCUGAUCCAGCCAUGCCGCGUGAAGGAUUAAGGUCCUCUGGAUUGUAAACUUCUUUUAUAUGGGACGAAAAAAGGGCAUUCUUGUUCACUUGACGGUACCAUAUGAAUAAGCACCGGCUAACUCCGUG
This 476-nucleotide ribosomal RNA is filed under the name uncultured bacterium. Its description in RNAcentral is "bacterial SSU rRNA". It matches the Rfam family "Bacterial small subunit ribosomal RNA", at positions 39 to 507 of the family's 1533-position model. The record is from RNAcentral.